Molecule: ribosomal RNA, 774 nt
Filed under: uncultured Neocallimastigales
Lineage: Eukaryota; Fungi; Neocallimastigomycota; Neocallimastigomycetes; Neocallimastigales
Description: partial large subunit ribosomal RNA
Rfam family: Eukaryotic large subunit ribosomal RNA
Source: RNAcentral
UAUGUGAUCGUCUCUCGCAUAUCAAUAAGCGGAGGAAAAGAAACUAACAAGGAUUCCCCUAGUAACGGCGAGUGAAGCGGGAAGAGCUCAAAUUUGAAAUCUUAAAGGGUUUCCCUUUACGAAUUGUAGUUUAAAGAAGUGUUUUCUGUUGAGGUUUUGGUAAAAGUUCUUUGGAAUAGGACAUCAUAGAGGGUGAGAAUCCCGUAUUUGACCUUUACUUUCAACUUUGUGAUACACUUUCAAAGAGUCGGAUUGUUUGGGAAUGCAGUCCAAAAUGGGUGGUAAAUUUCAUCUAAAGCUAAAUAUUGGCGAGAGACCGAUAGCGAACAAGUACCGUGAGGGAAAGAUGAAAAGAACUUUGAAAAGAGAGUUAAACAGUACGUGAAAUUGUCAAAAGGGAAGCGUUUGACACCAGUGUUGUUUUUCUGAAAAUCAAUUAAAGAACUGUUUAUGCUAAGUUGUUUAGACUUUAUCAGCUAACUGUUUAGUUUUGAGCUUUUCAUUAAUGCACUUUUCAGUUAACAAGUCAACAUCAAUUUCUUUUGCUGUAAAAAAGCUUGAGGAAGGUGGCUUGAGAUUCGUCUUAAGUGUUUAUAGCCUCUUGCCUAUGCAGUCGGAGAGAUUGAGGUCUGCAGCGUAGAUCCUUCGGGGCUAAAUGCAUUUGUGCUAAGUUAUAGCAUUUUAUAGACAACUUGUUGACUAUGAUUUGUCUUGUAGCUUACUCGCUUAUGUUAUUUUACCUACGCUUAGGAUGUUGACACACGCGCGUGCUCG